CCCGAGCCGUCCAAUGCUGUAACCCAAUACAGGUCCACUGAUAAGGUGGGUGGCGGCAAAUAACGCCAUACGAUGAGUAGGGGCGUUAUGUUGAAUACCGGUUAAGGAUAGAA
RNAcentral lists this small RNA (113 nucleotides) under unclassified sequences. RNAcentral's name for it is "Mahella-1 RNA". It matches the Rfam family "Mahella-1 RNA". The record is from Rfam by way of RNAcentral.